UUCUGCGUUGUGCUGCACCAACUAGUGUUACACCAUCCGGGCUAAAAGCGAGCAGCAUAAUUCUGUUGCAGUAAAAGAGCAGAAUUCACAUUGCUGAUAUAAUUUCACAGAAUUUACCCUUUUUUUUUUAAUGCAUGUAUUUCCCCACGCUUUCUGAAUUUCCCGUAGCUCAGCUGACUGCGCUGACUUUCCUCCCACUCACGCGUUCAUACCAAGACAACGCAAGUGAGAGGAGGACAGGUCGGUUUUGCCCUGAUAAUGGUUCCCCAGUGCAGCUUAUACCACUUGGGGAACAAAAUGUGGGGUUUUCAUAGUUCGUAAGUACUUCCCCCAAACCACCUGAAUCUCAAUUUAUCUCAAAUCUGGCUUUUCUCUACAGCCGGUCCCCCAGAGGUGACGCUUUGGAGACAACUCCUGUAGCUCGGUCACAAACCCGCAAUGGCCAACGGCUUUCUGAAGGUGGUGGAGGAGGUGAAUCUUCUUGUACGGAGCAAACCCCAGGAAGGGGCUGGGGCCGGCGCGGUGGGAGCCUGGCUGGGGCAGGUGAUGGGUGUCAGCAGCUUUCGCUGAUCGCUGCUGUUUCGGUGUGUGCUUGAAAUGUCUCAUGCAGCCGUGGCUCUGGCGAGUGGCCUGUGGAAGGGAAACCUGUUUGAUGAUGUAAAGUGAGAUUUUUGGGGUGUGUCCAGGCUUUUCAGGGAAAGGACUGAUGUAGUCAGCACGAACAAGCGCGUUUCGGUCGGUGCUGGCGGUGGCAGGCAGGGCUCUGCCGGCUGCUGCCUUGGAAAUGCCAGAGCCAUUGACGCAUCCGACAGCUGAAGGUUUUGCUGUGGGUCUGUCUUGUACUUUAAGCCAUGACUUUGUGUGAUGGUUUUCCCCCUGGUGAGGUUUGGGGCUGGUACCCAAAGUGAAUGCACUGCCAGCAGCGCUGCAUCCCCCAGUCUAAAUCCUCGUAUCGUGAAGCUGUGUGGCCAAAGGUACCCGAAUUGAGUCUGCCCAGCACAGGGGACGAUGGCAACCGCCUUCGCUCCUAUCCCGACUCACCCACCCAGCUAUUAUGGAUUCUCACAGAUCACUUGGCAUCGGGCCAUGGCACGGUAUUGCCGGGUUUGCAUUAUAACCUCUUAUUACAAAACCCUCAACGUUUCUCCGGAUUGUUUCGCCUGUUAUCAUUUUUCCCACAAUGCGCUUGCAUGAUCCUCUCUCAGACUUAACCACAUGGCAACCACAUCACAUAAUGCAACUUCUGUUCUGAGAUUAUUCAUAUUUUUUUUCCCCUAUUGUUGCUUUGCCAAGUUUGUCUUCUAAUUCUGAGAAGCUGAAUUUAAAAGAGCAGUGUCUCCGGUGCAAGGACAUGCUUAGGAGGCAGCGUGAGCAAAUCAACUCGACAAGUGUGUUCACAGGAGUCAAACGGGGGGGAGCUGUGAAAAAGCAAAACAAAAGCCCCUCCAAAUGUCUAUUUUUAUUUUAUUUCAUUUUCUGGAAUGUCUCAUCACAUGAAAUAACAAUGCAUCCCGGCAAAGAGACUGCAGACAGGCUCCAGUGAGAGGGCAGCUGAGGAAAAGAUUGCUUUAUAAGUAGGUUUUUAUACGCAAUCUAUCACAAAUGCCAGUUCCCAGCAGAAUGGGAUAAACAACAAAAAAAGGGCUGCGCUAUCUGGGAUGUGUGUUUGCACUCAUGCUGCUGGAAGGGAGCAGAGCCUGCGGCCGCGGGCACGCUGCCUGUGUCCCUUGCCGACACGGAGGACGGUGUGCCGCAGAGGGGCUGGGGCACGGGCACUGCACAGGUACCGCUCCGGCUCCAGGUCCUGCUUCCCAGGGAGGAUGCGAAUGGCUUGGGGCUGGUCCAGGGGGGAAGGAGAGCGAGCGGGGCCUGGGCAACAUGACCGAUGAGGGAUAAUGGAAAGAAAUGAGGUUGUUUAGUCUGGAAAAGGGAAGGAGGCAGGAGGGGGGAAGCGUUUUCAGGCCCUUCAGCUGCACGGGGGCUGCGGUAGAGCAGAAGGGGCUGACGCGGUUCCCGUGCCCUGGGACGUCAGGAGCUGCCGCGGCCAAGCCCUGGCCUUGGCGCUGCAAAACCACCACCGUCCAAGCCCCAUCGUUCUGACGAGCACUGGGACAAUGGGGAAGUGCACCAAACCCCCGGCGUUUCUGCCCAGUUUCCCAUCUGUGGCAGCCACCAAGGCACUGCCCACUUCUUGACUUCGUUUCUGAUAAAAAGGAUGGAUUUUCCUUCCAAAUGUUUCCAGUCACUGCCAUACGAAGAGCUUCUGCCAGAUGUAUCGAGCCUCCAAGGAGAGCGGCAGCUUCUACAAAACACCACGGCGAGGCUGGGGGAGAUCAUAUGGUGGAGAACUGGAGGGCAGAGCUGUGCAGCCUGCCCACGAGCCCGGCUUCCCAGGAAAGCGGUGGAAGGGCAUUGAUUUAUGAUCAAAAGGGAAAAAGCAAAGCAGAAUAAAAAGAAUACUUAAGACUUAAAAA
Harpia harpyja (harpy eagle) is the source of this 2474-nucleotide long non-coding RNA. RefSeq lists it as uncharacterized. The record is from RefSeq and is a predicted model, not a curated record. NCBI's taxonomy places the organism in Eukaryota, Metazoa, Chordata, Aves, Accipitriformes, Accipitridae. The transcript is spliced from 3 exons.